CUGAACGAGUUUAGUCAAGCUUCGCCGGUUUUAACUACACACUAGUUAUUCUUUCGUCUUCUACAUUGCUAUUGCAAAUUCACAAGAUGAUGAUGAAGACUUUACUCUGGCUCGUGAUCACAGUUUUCGCCGUAUCGCAGAUGGCGCAGUGUAACGACGAAGUUGAAGCAGAAGAAGUGACCACCACCAAACGUUCCAGAGGUGGUAGGCGGAGGGGAGGACGUCAGCUGUGGUAGUAAGCUACGCACAUCACUCACAGUUAAAGUUAAAAAUAUUUUGAAAUAAAGUAUUAUUUAUGCAGAACAAAAUA
This is a long non-coding RNA of Nasonia vitripennis (jewel wasp), 310 nucleotides long. RefSeq lists it as uncharacterized. The transcript has 2 exons. Lineage: Eukaryota; Metazoa; Arthropoda; Insecta; Hymenoptera; Pteromalidae. The record is from RefSeq and is a predicted model, not a curated record.